Leptidea sinapis is the source of this 1311-nucleotide long non-coding RNA. RefSeq lists it as uncharacterized. The record is from RefSeq and is a predicted model, not a curated record. The transcript is spliced from 3 exons. Lineage: Eukaryota; Metazoa; Arthropoda; Insecta; Lepidoptera; Pieridae.
UAUUUAUAUCCUGACCUAUCUAUAUAUAAAUGACCGGUCUCAUUUCGUCACCGCAUUACCUCCAAGCAUAUCUCGGUGUUAGUUGAUAGUGGCCUGCCCAUCAGGAGUAGCAAAAUGAAGGUUUUGGUGAUCCUGGCUUUAGUUGCGGUGGUAGCGGCGGGACCUGUAACGGAGCGCCCCAAGCGUAGCUUCGGCAGCUACGACUCUGGCCUGCUGCAGUCCAACGUGCUGCAGUCCAACAGCCUUCACCAGACGGACUACCGUUCCACAGACGUGCACUCCACCUCGCAGGUCUCCAACCUCUAUCAGCCGCAGCAGAUCGCGGUGCAACCCCUCGCCACCACGCAAUGGCAAUCUCCACAAGUGGUGCACCAGCCAGCCGUGUACAACCUUCCACAAACGUACAACUACGAACGGGAACCCGUGUACACGCAACACGUAGAGCCCGUGUACACUCAGAAUAUCCAACCCGUGUACAAUCACAACGUGCAGCCCUUGUACACACAGAACGUGCAGCCUUUGUACACACAGAACGUGCAGCCCUUGUACACACAGCAGGCGCAGUCCUUGUACACACAACAGGCUCAACCCUUCUAUACACAACAGGCCCAGCCCUUUUACACACAACAGGUUCAACCUUUGUACAGCCAACAGAUCCGUCCCGUGUACACUCAGCGCGUGGAACAAGCGAUUCCGCUCAACAACUGGCAAUACAACACCAACGCGUACCAAACAAGUGACCCGUGGUGCUAGAUUAACUUCAAUUUAGAUAUUGUUUGUAUGAAUGAGUCAUUCAUUAAGGGCUACAUUUCACGGGGACACCACUGUAGCGCAACCAGUCCCGGCUACCAUCAUAAUGUACACAGCUCUAUAUAAAAUUACGCACCUGGUGAAACUCCAUUGGUUGCGCAACCAAUUUGGUGGUGCAACCAGCUCGGACGCGUCAUGACUCUAGUGUCUAGUUUGGUAGCUAAAGGACACCACUGUGGUGUCUCGGCGCAACCAAUUUGUCGCGACCAGCUUGGACGCGUCAUGACACUGGUGUCUAGUUUGGUAGCUUACGGACACCACGGUGGCGCAACCAGUCACCGCAACCAUCAUUAUGUAUACAGCUCUAUAGAGAGUUACUCACCUAGUGUAAUUCCAUUGGUUGCGCAACCAAUUUGGUGGUGCAACCAGCUCGGACGCGUCAUGACUCUUGUGUCUAGUUUGGUAGCUAACGGACACCACUGUGGUGUCUCGGUGUAAUAUAGCCCUAAGAAUUUGUAACGUAAUAUUGUGUUAAUAACAUAAAGCUCAAUUCAAAUGUAA